CCAAGAGCGUAUGUAAAAGUUGUUGCAGUUAAAAAGCUCGUAGUUGAACCUUGGGUUUGGUUGGCCGGUCCGCUUUUUUGCGAGUACUGGAUUCAACCGAGCCUUUCCUUCUGGCUAACCAGUCGUUUCGGCGGCUGGCGAACCAGGAUUUUUACUUUGAGAAAAUUAGAGUGUUCAAAGCAGGCAUUAGCUUGAAUAUAUUAGCAUGGAAUAAUAGAAUAGGACGUUAUGGUUCUAUUUUGUUGGUUUCUAGGACCAUCGUAAUGAUUAAUAGGGACGGUCGGGGGCAUCAGUAUUCAGUUGUCAGAGGUGAAAUUCUUGGAUUUACUGAAGACUAACUACUGCGAAAGCAUUUGCCAAGGACGUUUUCAUUAA
This 375-nucleotide ribosomal RNA is filed under the name uncultured eukaryote. RNAcentral's name for it is "partial 18S ribosomal RNA". It matches the Rfam family "Eukaryotic small subunit ribosomal RNA", at positions 591 to 976 of the family's 1831-position model. The record is from RNAcentral.